GGAGUCUGGAAGAAAAGACAUACAUGAAGAAUUUAGCAUUUUCCUACCAGUUCUGUUAUGCAGCAAAAACUAGUUACUUGUAGAAGGAGCAUGAUUUCAGUAACCAUAAUACUAGUUCGACAAUCUCCACAACAUCAGAACAAAUUCCCUUUACCAUCUCUACCGUGUAACGAGGAAGCCCCUGUGAGAGCAGGAUUCCUUGGGAGAGUAGUGGGGUUGAUAUCGACAAGUAGGCAUGAUGUGGAUCUGAUGCUAAAGACUGUUGGCAUUAGUAGACAACUGUAAGCAGAUUUUUUUUUGCCAAAUUUCCUUAAAAUUUAAGAAACACAAUGUAUGCUUUUUUCACCUCUAAAAUAUGAACCUUUGGUUUCUUUUUCUUUUAUAGCAAGUUAAUAUGCACAUUUUCUUUCAUUCACAUUAGUUCUUCAAAAUUUAAUUCUUAGCAAACUUGGUCUUGCCACUGCUUUCUCCACUUUAUUCGUGAUGGGUUCUUCCUAAUUCUCAUAAUCGAAGUAGUUAUAGCACACAAUAAUUACCUGAAUCUGAUGUUUACAUGAACUUUGUUUAUGAUGCAUGAUAAGAAAUCUCUCUUGAGGCCGUGUGAUGAUAUGAUUACUGGAGCUAAUUUGUUCAGUGUAAAUAUAAAAGUAUAAAAUUAAAAUUUGGAACCCAUAGAAAGUUCAGGGUAUUUGAAAGUUUCAGCAUAUUGCGAAGUUUUUACCUGAAUGUGGUAAUCCACAGACCCAAAUUCAUGCAAGUGAUGAUCAAGCUCCAUUGGUCUUUCAGCACUGUCAUUGAAGAAGAAACGGUGAUUACAAAAAUUAUUAUUUUUAUUUUGUUGAAUAUUCAUGCAGUCUACCUUACACCUCUUUGGUUGCUUUGAAAUGGAGAGAAGAUUUAAUAAAUAAAAAAAAGUUCAAUAUUACACAAUCCAUUCCAUUCCUCUCUCAGGAUAACAAAUUUUCUUUUCUCUCAUCUUCUCAGCUACCAAACUUCCAAAAUUGAAGCGUUUAUAAAAUGAUGUACUUAAUCAGAAAACAAAAGAAAAUUAUGUUGAAGAUAUUCAUUGGAAUUAGUACCGGAAAAUAAAUACACCAAUGAAAUUAAUCCCUCAAGUGAUAGCUUAUUUAAUUAAUACUCCUAGACACAUUGGUUCCUAGAAUUUCUAUCAUCGGAAUUUUGACAGUAACAUAAGAUGUGCAGAUCAUGAAGAAAUGAGUUAUUUCCCCAGAAUUUUAAUAGUGAUGCAUUGCAUGAGCUUGCUCGUUGGGCAACUCAGAAUAGCUUUUUUAGGAUCUCUUGAUGCCUGCAAGCUUCCCCCAAAUUGAGGUGCUGUGAAGCUUGACUUGUCCAGGUGACAUGGAGAUUCAACUACUUAUCCAUGGUUUGUAUAUUAUGUUGCAUUGAUUCAAUAGUUCUUUGGCUUCACGGUUGAGUGAUUUUGCUCAUAAGUUGCAAGCUAAAUGUGCUGAAUUGUAUGGAGUAGGACAAGCUGGUGGGAUUUUAUGUGAUAAAAGAAUUAUACUUAAGCUAAAAGGAAAAUUCUAUAGGACCUUUAUUAGACCAACUAUGUUUUAUGGAGUAUACUGUUGGGCCUUAAAAAAGAAAAAAAGAACAAUGCCUUCAUGUAGCAGAAAUGAGAAUGUUAAAGUGGAUGAGUGGAGUGACUAGAAGAGAUAGGGUCACUAAUGAAAGUUUAGGAAAAAUUAGGUGUAGCACCCAUUGGUGAGAAAAUUAGAGCGAAUAGACUUCGAUGGUUUGGACGCAUACAUUGGAAACUUAGAGACGCGGGUCAAGAGAGGAAGAAUAGUUGUAAUAGAAGGCAAGAGACGGGAAGGGCGACCAAAGAUAACAUGACUUUAAAAAGUUAAAUGUAGUGGGUGAAAUGCCAUGUCAUAGAAAAGAUUGGAUGUGGCCAACUCAUUCCUAUGAGAUUAUGUCAGGGAUGAUGAAGAACACUUUGCUGAUUUAAGUUCACCAAAAUGACAGGGUAUUCUAACAUAUUUUUGUUUUUCCUCUUCUUCCUCUUUUUCCUUUUUUUUUUUUUUUCUAAA
This is a long non-coding RNA of Cornus florida, 2054 nucleotides long. RefSeq lists it as uncharacterized. The record is from RefSeq and is a predicted model, not a curated record. Lineage: Eukaryota; Viridiplantae; Streptophyta; Magnoliopsida; Cornales; Cornaceae. The transcript has 2 exons.